GAGAAGGGGCCUGAGAAAUGGCCACUACGUCUAAGGAUGGCAGCAGGCGCGCAAAUUACCCACUCUCGGAUAGAGGAGGUAGUGACGAGAAAUACCGGCGACUCGCCCUUUGGGUGCAGUCACUGGAAUGGGUGCAAUCUAAACCCUUGAACGAGUAUCAAGCAGAGGGCAAGUCUGGUGCCAGCAGCCGCGGUAAUUCCAGCUCUGCCAGUGCAUAGAAUCAUUGCUGCGGUUAAAAAGCUCGUAGUUGGAUCUCAGAGCGCGGCCGGGUCGUGCCGAGAGGUGCGCACUCGCGUCGUGCUCCGCCAGCCGGCCUGACGCUUCGUCGCUCCUUCGGGGGCUUCGUGGCGGACGGUUGGCGAGUUUACUUUGAACAAAUCAGAGUGCUCAAAACAGGCCCAGCGCCUGUAUGCUUUUGCAUGGAAUAAUGGAAGAGGAUUUCGGUUCUGUUUUGUUGGUUUCGAAGCCGAGAUAAUGGUUAACAGGGGCAGACGGGGGCAUUGGUAUUUCUGCGUGAGAGGUGAAAUUCUUGGACCGCAGGAGGACCGACAACAGCGAAGGCAAUUGCCAAGAAUGUCCCCAUUAAUCAAGAACGAAAGUCAGGGGAGCGAAGGCGAUUAGAUACCGCCGUAGUCCUGACCGUAAACGAUGCUAACUAGCGAUCCGUCGGAGACCGCCACCACUGGUGCCGAUGGGGAGCUUACGGGAAACCAAAGUGUUUCAGCUCCGGGGGUAGUAUGGUCGCAAGGCUGAAACUUAAAGGAAUUGACGGAAGGGCACCACCAGGAGUGGAGCCUGCGGCUUAAUUUGACUCAACACGGGAAACCUCACCCGGGCAGGACACCGCAAGGAUUGACAAAUUGACAGCUUUUUCAUGAUUCGGUGGUUGGUGGUGCAUGGCCGUUCUUAGUUCGUGGAGUGAUCUGUCUGGUUAAUUCCGAUAACGAGCGAGACCCGCGCCUGCUAACUAGUUGGGACGUACACCGUCGCGUCUCAGCGCACUUCUUAGAGGGAUCUGCGGCGCUAGCCGCAUGAAAGUGGGCAAUAACAGGUCUGUGAUGCCCCUAGACGCCCGGGGCUGCACGCGCGCUACACUGGCGAAGUCAUCGUGCUUGCGCUGGCCCGAGAGGGUCGGCUAAUCCGUUGAAAAUUCGCCGUGACUGGGAUCGGAGAUUGCAAUUGUUCUCCGUGAACGAGGAAUUCCAAGUAAGUGUGAGUCAUCAACUUGCGCUGAUUACGUC
This 1241-nucleotide ribosomal RNA is filed under the name Miculenchus muscus. Its description in RNAcentral is "SSU rRNA". It matches the Rfam family "Eukaryotic small subunit ribosomal RNA", at positions 386 to 1651 of the family's 1831-position model. The record is from RNAcentral. Lineage: Eukaryota; Metazoa; Nematoda; Chromadorea; Rhabditida; Tylenchidae.